This 253-nucleotide ribosomal RNA is filed under the name uncultured bacterium. RNAcentral's name for it is "partial 16S ribosomal RNA". It matches the Rfam family "Bacterial small subunit ribosomal RNA", at positions 524 to 776 of the family's 1533-position model. The record is from RNAcentral.
UACGUAGGGGGCAAGCGUUAUCCGGAAUUACUGGGUGUAAAGGGUGAGUAGGCGGAGAUACAAGCCAUAUGUGAAAGGCAGGGGCUCAACCCCUGGAUUGCAUAAGGAACUGUAUGACUAGAGUGCAGGAGAGGUAAGUGGAAUUCCUAGUGUAGCGGUAAAAUGCGUAGAUAUUAGGAGGAACACCAGUGGCGAAGGCGACUUACUGGACUGUAACUGACGCUGAGGCACGAAAGCGUGGGGAGCGAACAGG